Molecule: RNA transcript, 545 nt
Organism: Zea mays
Lineage: Eukaryota; Viridiplantae; Streptophyta; Magnoliopsida; Poales; Poaceae
Exons: 2
Source: RefSeq, marked validated
GUCCCUGAUCCCAUUCCCAUCCCAGGUCCCAGCAAGGCAGCAACCCUAGCUCAGUAGCUCCCAGGUGGCCGACGGGCCGACCGCGGACGGCGUCCUCCUCCAGGCUCUAGUCCGGCUCCUCCCAAGCUCCCAGGCCCCAGCAGGCCAGCACCGUAGUGCGCACAGACGCGCAGUCCUCCUCCCAGGCUCCCCGCUCCCAGCGGCCACCGGCCAGCACCGCUUUUCUUCAUGCAGACUGCAGACCUUCACUGUUGCUGGCUUGCUUCAUAUGGCGCGUUGCUUUGCUGUUGCUGGCUUGCUGCGUUUGUUAACUUAAAAACUGGCGCAUUGCUUUGCAGACCUGGGCACCUGGCGCGCGCCUGGCGAAGUUUCUAUGUACAAGCAUAGCUUCACCUUCACCCCCCAAACUUGCUACUUGAGAUGCAGUUAAAAUUUAUGUAACAAUAGUACUUUGUCUCAGUUUUUUUGUGUACAUUGUGGACUUAUGCAAGUUAUUAAACUCUAGUAUUUUAUGAUUCCAUUAUUAUAUAGAUGUAUUGUACUCU